RNAcentral lists this long non-coding RNA (427 nucleotides) under Apteryx haastii (Great spotted kiwi). RNAcentral describes it as "lncRNA (ENSAHAG00000011059.1)". Lineage: Eukaryota; Metazoa; Chordata; Aves; Apterygiformes; Apterygidae. The record is from RNAcentral.
GUGUGCACCGGGAUGGCGGCACCGGGAGGUGCCUGCGUGUGCCGGGGCGGCAGCACCGGGAGGCACGGCACUUCUUCAGAUGUGAACCCCUAUCUGAAUACAAGCUCGGAUCAAGAGGACUACUUUCAGAAUGAAACCUCUCUCUUCUUAUCACUAUUUCUCAUGGGAUCUCUGGGAUCUCUCUUUCAGCAGCCUCAUGAAUGGGGAAGCAGCUUCUGUGCACAGCCACCAAGUCCCCCAAGACGCCUCUCCCGCAGCAUCUGCUGAGCUCCAGGAACAAAGAAUCAGCUGUGCCCAAGCCACAGGAGAGGGGAGCCAAAUGUCAGUGACCUGGAGAAAUCUGUGAUUAAACCAGCUCAGACAUUUUAUCUCCUGUUCCAUUUGAACCAAAAAUAAAACAAAUUUGCUUUCUGAGCUGGAAGGUUAC